Molecule: non-coding RNA, 103 nt
Organism: Canis lupus familiaris (dog)
Lineage: Eukaryota; Metazoa; Chordata; Mammalia; Carnivora; Canidae
Source: Rfam
AGGAGGAACAACCCCAGUGGUGGGGCCAGCUCUGGAGCCCUGCAUUCAGCUCCCAGAGUAGCUCCGGAGCUCUGUCUGCAGGGCCUGGAGGCUCCAGUGCGGU